CUUGGGAGACACGGGAGUCUAUGCUCCAGCAGUACCCUCAUCUCUUUUAAGGUUAGAUCUCCAUGUGCUUAUGUGUUAUGUAUGUAUGUUAUGUUUUAUGCCAUGCUAUGUGCUAGUUGAGGGACAUUCGGGGACGAAUGUUCUUAAGGGGGGGAGAAUGUAAUACCCGGCUAGACUCCGGUAUCGGAAUUCCUACCGUCCGGUGGAAUCUCGGAUGUCGGAAGCCUCUAGUAGGGU
This 237-nucleotide long non-coding RNA is filed under the name Manihot esculenta (cassava). RNAcentral's name for it is "long non-coding RNA (MESC_LNC003303)". The record is from RNAcentral. Lineage: Eukaryota; Viridiplantae; Streptophyta; Magnoliopsida; Malpighiales; Euphorbiaceae.